AAACACGGACCAAGGAGUCUAACACGUGUGCGAGUAUUUGGGUGGCAAACCCUGAUGCGCAAUGAAAGUAAAGGCGUCCGUUGGGGCGCUGCGGUGGGAAGGAUGGAGGGCGAAUUUUUCCCUCCUCCUGCACCAUCGCCCGAUCGAUUGCUCGCGAGAGAUUUGAGGACGAGCACGCUUGUUGGGACCCGAAAGAUGGUGAA
This 203-nucleotide ribosomal RNA is filed under the name Coccolithus braarudii. Its description in RNAcentral is "partial Eukaryotic large subunit ribosomal RNA". It matches the Rfam family "Eukaryotic large subunit ribosomal RNA", at positions 657 to 830 of the family's 3401-position model. The record is from RNAcentral. Lineage: Eukaryota; Haptophyta; Coccolithales; Coccolithaceae.